This 499-nucleotide ribosomal RNA is filed under the name uncultured bacterium. RNAcentral describes it as "partial 16S ribosomal RNA". It matches the Rfam family "Bacterial small subunit ribosomal RNA", at positions 28 to 507 of the family's 1533-position model. The record is from RNAcentral.
GACGAGCGCUGGCGGCGUGCCUAAUACAUGCAAGUCGUGCGGACCUUUUAAAAGCUUGCUUUUAAAAGGUUAGCGGCGGACGGGUGAGUAACACGUGGGCAACCUGCCUGUAAGACUGGGAUAACGCCGGGAAACCGGGGCUAAUACCAGAUCGUUUUUUCCUCCGCAUGGAGGAAAAAGGAAAGGCGGCUUCGGCUGCCACUUACAGAUGGGCCCGCGGCGCAUUAGCUAGUUGGCGGGGUAACGGCCCACCAAGGCAACGAUGCGUAGCCGACCUGAGAGGGUGAUCGGCCACAUUGGGACUGAGACACGGCCCAAACUCCUACGGGAGGCAGCAGUAGGGAAUCUUCCGCAAUGGACGAAAGUCUGACGGAGCAACGCCGCGUGAGUGAAGAAGGCCUUCGGGUCGUAAAACUCUGUUGCCGGGGAAGAACAAGUGCCGUUCGAACAGGGCGGCGCCUUGACGGUACCCGGCCAGAAAGCCACGGCUAACUACGUG